This 471-nucleotide ribosomal RNA is filed under the name uncultured Rhodobacterales bacterium. RNAcentral's name for it is "bacterial SSU rRNA". It matches the Rfam family "Bacterial small subunit ribosomal RNA", at positions 12 to 529 of the family's 1533-position model. Lineage: Bacteria; Pseudomonadati; Pseudomonadota; Alphaproteobacteria; Rhodobacterales. The record is from RNAcentral.
UUUGAUCCUGGCUCAGAACGAACGCUGGCGGCAGGCCUAACACAUGCAAGUCGAGCGCACCCUUCGGGGCGAGCGGCGGACGGGUUAGUAACGCGUGGGAACAUACCCAAUGGUACGGAAUAGCCUCGGGAAACUGAGAGUAAUACCGUAUGUGCCCUUCGGGGGAAAGAUUUAUCGCCAUUGGAUUGGCCCGCGUUAGAUUAGAUAGUUGGUGGGGUAAUGGCCUACCAAGUCUACGAUCUAUAGCUGGUUUUAGAGGAUGAUCAGCAACACUGGGACUGAGACACGGCCCAGACUCCUACGGGAGGCAGCAGUGGGGAAUCUUAGACAAUGGGCGCAAGCCUGAUCUAGCCAUGCCGCGUGUGUGAUGAAGGCCUCAGGGUCGUAAAGCACUUUCGCCAGAGAUGAUAAUGACAGUAUCUGGUAAAGAAACCCCGGCUAACUCCGUGCCAGCAGCCGCGGUAAUAAGGG